ACCGAGUGACCAACAAGAGAAAACACUUUGAAUGACGCCAGCGCAAGUUACGGUGCGCCCCGGACGCGUGCACCGCGAAGAAUGUCUGCGGCUGACGCGAUACAUACGGAUCGGUAUCAUUUGAUUAAAGUUAUUUCUGACAUAUGAUCUUGGAUUUCUAGAUGUGACCUCGAAGAUUUUUAUUUUUUAUGACAUUUUUAUUACAGAAUAUUUCAGAAAGAUUGGGCAGAGCUGUGGAUAUAAAUUUUAUGUGUCUCUUCAGAGCACGCGGUAUUUAUACUGUCACGGAAUAUCGAUAUGAUACUCUAAAUUACACGAAGAAAGGCAAAGAUGGCAGAAAGGAAAUCGAUAAAAUUC
Molecule: unclassified non-coding RNA, 357 nt
Filed under: Bombus terrestris (buff-tailed bumblebee)
Lineage: Eukaryota; Metazoa; Arthropoda; Insecta; Hymenoptera; Apidae
Description: misc RNA ENSBTSG00005025244.1
Source: RNAcentral